AAAUAAUUAUUUAUACAUUAUGUUUACUUUUGUUAUGUUUCUUUUCCAAGUUUUUACAAAAAUGUUUAUUAAAGCAAAAUGGCUUGAACCUCCACAUUUAAUUGAAUAUGGUACAAUCCCAUCAAAUUGGGUAGAGAAAAGUAAUGACAGUUUAUGGGUCUGUUGGCCUAAAGUUGUGAAUGUAAAGCCAUUAAUUUUAAGCAGGCAGAUGCCAAAAAAAGAUUGGGCUAGGUUCAUUUUGUUAAAAAAAUAUGGAAGUGGAAGCAGCUUUUCUGAAUGUGAAAUGGUUCCCUCAGGUAAUGAUACAAAUGAAGAUACAGAAGAUGAAAAUUUGUUGAAGCAAAAUAACCGCUUUACAUUACCAUAUUUCAUGAGCGAUGAUGAUUUUGAUAACGAGGUUGCUCCUAAUCAAUCCAAAAAAAAAAAUUGGCUUGCAGCAGUGAUGAGGAGGCAGAGACCACAAUAGACAAUUUCCCAUUACUUCCCUUGUCACUACAAAAAUGUUCUUAAUUUUAUAUAAUUUAUUUAUGUAUUUAUUUGUUGUUGUGUUUUCACUACUUUUACAAGGAUUUUUUUUUGUGUGUCAUUAUAUUUGUAACCUAAACUUUCUGCAAUAAUAUUAACAAAUGAUAGAUAGUAUAACAAAUAACACACUUAGAAACACUGAACACAAAUUUAAAAGGAUCAGUGUGUAUUGUUUUUUAUGCUAAGUAUUUAUAACAAAUAAUAUCUAUUUAUAAAAAAGUAUACCAGGUAUGUAUUCUUAAGGUGUAGAAUGUUUUCAUUUUUUCUAAUAUUAAUUUGAAUUUCAUUUUCACUUAAAGUGCCUUCUAAUCGGACUUUGAUGACAAAAAAAAAGCAUAAAGUUGAUUUGGAGAUUGAACCAGAAUAUCAGCCUCAAGUAUCGUCAUUUAAAUCCAGUUCCCAGCAGCUAUGAUUGCAGUAGUAAACCUGUGAUUAGUUAUGACGCUGAUAAUAUCUCUGCUUCAUCACAAGAAGUUUUCCAGAAAAAUAUAACAAAAGAACUAAUGGAGGUGAAGCAAAAUCAAAAAGUUCUGAUGGAAAAGUUCUCAGGAGUACAAUAUACAAGAGAAAAUAUGGUUAAUAAGUUAGUCUUUGUUACUAUUGAUAAUGUUGAAGAUUUAGUGAAGUUGGAAACUGAAUUAGAAGACAAAAGUUUAUAUUUGCAGCUGUCCAGUCAGUUGCAACAACAAUUAAAGCAGCAGGAAACAGCCAAGUACACAUGCAAGUGAUAUGAUUCUAAUAGUUGAACAUCUGUCAGAUAUUUACCUUUUAAAUCAUAAUCUAAUUGCUCAAGCUUCUGAAAAGCUAUUUAUAAAAAUUCAACGGUUAAAGAUUAAAGAUUGUUAUGAGGAUUGCAAAACUUUUAAAUAUCAGAAACUGAAGAAAGCAUUGAUAAUCAGCAGAUAUCAAAAAAGCACAAAAGUACUGAUUAUACAACUCUUUUAAAGUUGAGGAAGAAUUUUAUGUUAAAGUUAAUGCAAAAGGUACGAAUAUUGACAGUUAAACCAUCACCACUUCCACAGCCACCUUGUCUCAAGCAUUAAAUCGCAUUCUAAGAUAUCUUUAUUCAAAUUAAGUGUGACUACUUUACCAAAAGACUCUAGAAUGGACCAAUCAACUAACCCAUCAGUACUUGCAAAGUCUCCUUUUCUGUAAGCCCAAAAAUUGAGUUCUAAAAUACCAUUAUCCACAUAACUACUAUAUCAAAGUACAAUCUAAUGGAUUGAUCAAUGAAACUGUCGGUAUCUCCACAACUUUUCAAUUAAAUAGAAAGUUUCAAUUAAACAGGAUACUGAGUGUGCCAGUGUGCCUACUGCUCCUCAAGACAAUGAAUAAUGGGAGUUAUCAAACUUUAUAUAUA
Hydra vulgaris (swiftwater hydra) is the source of this 1885-nucleotide non-coding RNA. Lineage: Eukaryota; Metazoa; Cnidaria; Hydrozoa; Anthoathecata; Hydridae. The record is from RefSeq and is a predicted model, not a curated record.